RNAcentral lists this ribosomal RNA (262 nucleotides) under uncultured bacterium. RNAcentral describes it as "partial 16S ribosomal RNA". The record is from RNAcentral.
CUGCUGCCUCCCGUAGGAGUUUGGGCCGUGUCUCAGUCCCAAUGUGGCCGUCCACCCUCUCAGGCCGGCUACUGAUCGCUGCCUUGGUGGGCCGUUACCCCGCCAACUAGCUAAUCAGACGCGGAUCCAUCGUAUACCACCGGAAUUUUUCACACUGCCCCAUGCGGAGCCGUGCGCUUAUGCGGUAUUAGCACCUAUUUCUAAGUGUUAUCCCCCGGUAUACGGCAGGUUAUCCACGCGUUACUCACCCGUCCGCCACUAA